Long non-coding RNA from Melospiza melodia melodia, 3167 nucleotides. RefSeq lists it as uncharacterized. Lineage: Eukaryota; Metazoa; Chordata; Aves; Passeriformes; Passerellidae. The transcript has 3 exons. The record is from RefSeq and is a predicted model, not a curated record.
AGUUCGGCGGUGCCGUGGCUCGGAGGCGCUUUGGAGGCGUUGAUGGCAUCGCUGGGUUCGGUUUGCAGCGGGUGUCCGCUAAGGGAUACGGUGUUCUUCCUGAGUGGGCACGGUUCUCGGUGCCGGUAGGGAUGAUAAUGGUUUGUUUUGGAUUGAGUUUUGUAGUCGGAUAUAUAUUUUUUUGCCGGGGUAUUAUGUUUAGAAGGGCGCGCAAUGUUUUUUACGGGUCGUAGCGCGAAGCAGCGGUUCGCAUUUUAAUUCUGUUGCGGUGGCUUUUAUUAGCGUGAGUGUGUAGUGUUUGUUUUGGGGGGCUUGGGGAAGCGUCCUGUCCUUCAUAGCAGCGGGUUUUUAAUCUCGAUAAUUGCAUGUGUGUUUAUCGUCUUCCAGGGCUUUUAUUUGUUUGGUUUGUUUGAUUGUAGUGUAUGUUUUAUGGUUACGGGUAAUUUGGGGGACAUUGUUUAUGGUUACGUUUGUCUUUAGUCUUUGUGUUUGUUUCUAGGUGGUAUUUUUAUUUUGAUAGCUUGAGGCACUAUGGGUUUAUUCAGUUGGGAAUAAGUUUUUUGUUGCAGAUUUCAGUUUAUUUGGUUUUUGGUAUUAUUCUUGUUGUUGCUUUCUUUAUUUUCUUUUUUUGUUGUUGUUGUUGUUGUCUUUUAAUGUAUUUGCGUAUUGUUUAUCAGGGUUUUUUUUGGGUAUUUAUAUGGUGGGUUUUUAAAGUAUUUAUUUAUUUGGGUAGUUAAUUUCUUAGUUUUUAGUGGUUGAGAUGUUUUUCCAUUUUGUUAAUUAGUUCAGGUUUUAAAGUUAUUUUUACAGAGGAUUGUUUAUUCCUUGAGUUAGUGUAGAGGUAGAAUUUUGUUGUUUUUUAUUUUUUUUUAGUAACGUCGUUCAGGGUGAGUGGCACUGUCUUGAGUUUAGUAGAUUGGUUUGACUUUUUUUUAGUACUUUUUGUAAUUUGCUGUGUGUGUUUCUAUAGGAUUUUCUUUUAUUUUGGUUCCAUUUUUCUGUCGUGAUGAGAAUUGUUAUUGAAAAGAGUGUUCUUUGUUUUUUCGCUGACACUUGUUUGGCUGUUGGAGGUAUCUUGAUGUUUUUGGAAGAUAUUGGUGGGAAUUUGAUGCUGUUUGUUCUGUCAUUUCAUUUAGGAAUUGGAUUUUAAAUAUACAAUUAUGACUCUAACUGUAUUGAAACAAAAGAAAUAGAUGUGUAGCAAUGGGAAUGAGCCAAUUUUAUUUUUAUAUAUUCGGUCAAUUUCUAAAAUUUAACAUGUAACAUGAGUCAUUAUAUGUUACAAUAAGUUAUUCUAAUUUUAAUAGAGUAUUGUGUAUGUUUAUAGAUAUAUGAAUAGAGAAUAUAAAUGUAAAUACAACCCAAACAAAAAUACAAAUAUAUAAAUGUAUUGCAACUAUAUGCAGAUAUAUAAAAAAUUAAUAAUAAAUUGUAAAUAUAAAAUAACAUAAAUUGAUACAAUAUAUAAUACAAGUGAUACUGCAUAUAUUUUAUGAAAAAUAUUAUAGGAAAUGGAUAUAAAAUAGAUAUAAAUACGGAUGUGAUAUAUCUAUCUAUCUAUCUCUAUCUAUCAUUUGUUGUAUAUUAUGAUAAAUACAAAUAUAAAAAAACAUUUAGGUAGUUUAAAAUAAUGGAUGGUUUUGUUUUUUCUUUGCCAAAGCAGGGGUUUUCGUGUAAAAAUUACAAAUACAAAUAAUAUAAAGGUAGAAAUAUGAGUAUAGAAAUAUAUCAUAAACACGUUAAAGAUUUAUAUAAAAAUUAGAAAUAUAAGGAAAAAUAAGUUGUAGCAGUAGAUAUGGUAAAUAAUUUAAAAAAUAUUUCCCGUAUAUUUUUUGAAUAAGGUGCAUAUUAUAUAUAGUUAUUAAUAUAAUACAUCAAUAUAAACGAUAAAUAUAUAUAAAAUGUCAACUAUCUAUAAGAAGGAAUAAAAGCUCUGUGUCACGUGCAGCAGUAGAAAAUUUCAGGCUCCCAGGGAAUAAAUAGUUUUCUUUAAAUCAUUUUCGUUUUGGAUUUUUUUUUUUACUCCCGGGUAGCCUGAAAGUUUCUACUGCUGCUUUUUUAUUCUAAAGGUGGAAAGGAAAACCAAGAUCAGAAAUACAAGAAAGGGGAAGGGGAAGGGAAGGAAGGGAAGCAGGAGAGGAAGAGGGAAGGGAAGUGGUGAAAAACAGGGUGAAAAAAGUAAAAAGAGUUGGAGGGAAAAAGAGAGGGCAUCCGGGAAGAGCGGUGCUGCCUCAGGUCCUUCCCCGCCCUGGGGCGAAGGAGCCGUUUGAUGCCCAGGAGGGAGUGCAGGUCCCGGUGGCUCCCGGGGGACGGAGCGGUGGCUGUCAGCCCGAGACUCCAACUCCCGGCAGGCCGUGCUGCCGGCGCGGCGUGUGACGCAACGGCUAUCGCGGCACAUGAGUGGCUGUCAGCCCGAGACUCCAACUCCCGGCAGGCCCUGCUGCUGGCGCGGCGUGUGACGCAACGGGCGACGCGGCCCGGCAUUUUUCUCUAAAUCGGCAGUAAAUACAGCUGAGUAAAAUUAGCUUGGUUUUCUUCCUUCUUUUGUAACUGAACUGUUUUUAUUAAAAAUCCUAUUUGAAUAUGUAGAAAAAGUGGGGAUGUCCUGUAAUAUAUCGUAGCUUUUCUUGUUUACAGGGUACUGAGAAAAUACGUCUCCCUUAGAGUACCGCGGAAAGGUUCUCAGUGCGAUCUCUAUCAAGUGCUAUGAGUCUUGAUAAAUUGGAGAAGAGCCCAAGAGAAAUUUUUCAUCCCUUGAUAUAAAAGGAUUUAUUGGUUCUGGAAGAACAAGAGGGAAGUACAAGCCUAACUACUUCUAGCUCACAGGCCCGUCCAGUGAACCCAGGUUUGUGUUUUGGUGGGCUUGUGAUGACUUUGAAAUCAAUUGCUCAUUCCAGUAAAAAAAAUUCAUGUUUUUUUGAACGUGACAGCAGAAAUAACUUUAGGCACCAACUGAAUAAUAAUAGAUCACCAGUUUAAGUUAAAAAUUCAUGCUAUACUAUCAAAAUUUAAAGGUAAAUUAUUAUGUAUUAGGUGAUGGUAUAAAGUGUAUGUUCUAAUGUGUAAUGCAAAGAUACAUACGUACCUGAAAGUCCUUAGCGGAAACAAAUUUUUAUGUCUGCUGUUUGAUUGUUUACCAUACGAUAUUUGGUUUCAUUUCCCAGGGA